This 519-nucleotide ribosomal RNA is filed under the name uncultured bacterium. RNAcentral's name for it is "partial 16S ribosomal RNA". It matches the Rfam family "Bacterial small subunit ribosomal RNA", at positions 28 to 507 of the family's 1533-position model. The record is from RNAcentral.
GACGAACGCUGGCGGCGUGCCUAAUACAUGCAAGUCGAGCGAGUCUGCCUUGAAGAUCGGAGUUCUUGCACUCUGUGAAACAAGAUACAGGCUAGCGGCGGACGGGUCCGUAACACGUGGGUAACCUGCCCAAGAGAUCGGGAUAACACCUGGAAACAGAUGCUAAUACCGGAUAACAACAGAUGAUGCCUCUCACCUGUUUAAAAGAUGGUUCUGCUAUCACUCUUGGAUGGUCCUGCGGUGCAUUAGCUAGUUGGUAGGGUAACGGCCUACCAAGGCGACGAUGCAUAGCCGAGUUGAGAGACUGAUCGGCCACAUUGGGACUGAGACACGGCCCAAACUCCUACGGGAGGCAGCAGUAGGGAAUCUUCCACAAUGGACGCAAGUCUGAUGGAGCAACGCCGCGUGAGUGAAGAAGGGUUUCGGCUCGUAAAGCUCUGUUGUUGGUGAAGAAGGACAGGGGUAGUAACUGACCUUUGUUUGACGGUAAUCAAUUAGAAAGUCACGGCUAACUACGUG